Molecule: long non-coding RNA, 3789 nt
Organism: Myotis myotis
Lineage: Eukaryota; Metazoa; Chordata; Mammalia; Chiroptera; Vespertilionidae
Exons: 6
Source: RefSeq, a predicted model, not a curated record
UUUAUUGAAGCUUUCUUAGGAGGGGUAAAAGAUGAAGGUUUCCUGUUAUCUUCCAUAACUCAAAGCAAAACUUUCAAAAUUCCUUAUUCAAUCUCUCUCUUUCCCUAAGGGAAAGAGCCCCUGAAGUUCCUCUCCAUAAUGACUGCCAAAUCCCUCUCUUCUCUUUUCUCUCACCAACGACUUUCCUCCUCUUUGAACCUUACUCCUCCAUUCUCUGUGAGCACCACGUCUGCCCCUCUUCCCUUUCGAGGAGAGCUCUUAGGUGUGUCUCCAGCUCCUCUUCCCUUUUAUGAUCUCUGCUCGGUAAAUCCAGGGAACUUCUGGACUCGUCUUUCUUGGGGGUGAUUGUGGCUAGAAGGUCAUAAGUAACUUCUUUUCCUUUCUCACAUGACUCUUGAUCCCUUCUAAAAGCCCUCUCAUUUUCUUUUCUUGUCAUUGCUGAACAGUCUUCAGCAUUCUUUUUGCAGAAGUUUCUCUAACAUCUUUUCACUCCAGAUCUAUGCUUAACAGACGCUAAAGCUACUUCUUCACAGUUCCUUUAUCCAUUUGCCUUUUAAAAUUAUUUUGCUUAUAUAUUAUUUUUAAUGAGCUUAUCACCUCUUCACCAGCCUUCUACAUUGCAUAGGCUGCUUCCACCGGGGGAGCAGCAUUCAUUUCCCACUGCUGUCCCCAGUGCCCUUCGUCCCUGACUCCCUUCCCUGCUCACCAUUGUUGUCCACGCAUCCCUCCCAGUAUUGUCUGUUCUUCUCAUCUCCUCCUUGUCCAUAUUUGUAAUAACGUUCACUAUUUUUAAAUGAUCAUUUUUGUGUUCUCAUUUUUUCAGGGGCUCUCCCCUAAGUCUCUGUCCUGUGACAUAAAACUGCAUGCAGCAUUGAUCUCUGUGGGUUAGGGGAGAUGGGGUUGAGGGGCAGAAUAUCCUCUCCACCAUGGCGCUCAUGUGGGCUGGACAUUCUGUUGGGGCGGGGAGACUGUCAUGUGCACUGUGGGAUGUUUAGCAGCACCCCAGCCUCUACCCACUAGACAUCAGAGGUACCCUCUCCAUUGUGACAACCCAAAAUACCUCCAGACAGUGCCAGAUGUGCCCUGGAGGGCAACAUUUCCCCACCCUCUCCUCCUGUUGAGAACUGCUGUUCUAGAAUAUCACCUUUCUGAAGUUGAUGGAUGGUUAUACUUUUUCUUCCCAAUUUGUGAUUUGUUUGCUUAGCCUAGAUUUUUAAAAGUGUGGUCUUUGUCUUACUUGGUAGGAGGGAGCCUCUUAAAAUUGCAGGUUCCCAAUCUCAUCCGAGGCCUACUGAAUCAGAAAUUCUGGAAGUGGAAUCUGGAAAUAAAAUUUUUAUAAGGCAGUACCCCCCACCCCUUCCCAAACAGGUAAUUCUUAUGCCCUGGGCUUGACCUUCCUGUGGUAUAACUGCUGCAUUACCCACAUUUUUUUCCUGCAGGUCUUCCUGGUUGCUCCAGCUUUGCUUCCGCUCUUGGCCUCAUGAUGCCAACACAAAUAGGGAGGCCUCAGGUUACCCGGACAACUGGAGCACAGGAAACCGUAAAGGCGCAGCCCUCCCACAAGGAAUCAGACUGUGGCCAUGCCCGCUUGCUUUCACCGAAGGGACUCAGUCAUACUUCCUACUCCCCAUUCUCCAGCUACCCAGUAUAGCAGAUACCCAGGCCCAAGUCACAGACCCUGAUUUUGCAGACCUGGUAGUGGAAUAUGGAAUGAAUGGGAUGAAGAAAGCACAACAGGUGCAAUAGGAAAAGACGAAUCUGAAAUGAAGAUUACCUCUCUCAAAACAGACAUGAUGCUCCAAGCAGUCGUUCCCGUUGUGAGCUGUACUGUAAAACCCUAUCAUUGCUGUUGGGCAACAUCAAAAUACCUUACAUAUGUAGCAAUGACGGCGCACAUGCCCACACCCAAUGAAGUAAGGUCAUGCCACUGAAGUUAUCUCCAUUGAGGUGGCAGGUGAUGUCAUGACUGUGGAUAAACUCACCAAGGAAGUGAGUAUGGAAAGGAGAAUGCAGAAAGCUGAAACUUCGGCAUGGGGGUGGGAAGCCUACAGCUCAGAGGAGGAAGAGGGUCUUGCUGGAGUGAGAGAGCACUGGACAGUGAGAUGGAAGAAUGGGAUAAUGAGCUGUGGCAGGAGCCAUGGGAAGAGCUUUAAGAAGAAGGUGAUGGUCCACAGUGUCAAAUGUGAUUGAGGGAGAGUGGAAGAGAGAGGAAAGACAGAGAGAAACAUCAACGUGAGAGAAACAGUUCGAUUGCCUGUACGAGCCCUCACCAGGGCUGGGCUGGGGAGGAGCCUGCAACCAAGGUUCUCUUGGACCUGUCUGUCUUGUGUGCAGGAGAGAACGGCAUACAAUCAAAACCUUGUUCUGCAAGUCAGGUUAGCCAGGCAGAGAGAAGACUGGAAGGUGUUUUAUUUCUCUGGAGUCUUACAGGCCUGGAGGCACGGUCUGGUGCAGAACAAACCUGAGGGUCCAGAGUUAGCUGCAGAAUCAGAUAAAACAAAAUUCCUUUUCACUACCAGUGUUGGAAGCUGGAACUCCAGUUACCAUCCCUCCUUGUUAAAAAACAAGCUGUCUUCCAUUUCUACUGGGUUUGGGGCAAGAGACAUUUGAAGAAGGGCUUGCCUUUGGUCUUGGAGCCUCAUGGAUCCAAUUAUAUAUGCUCCUCAACGGUAAGGACUGUAUCAUCCAGCUAUUUUUUUUUAUUCACCCCUGCCACUGUGCAAGGCAGCCAGUGUUCCAUAAAGAAAUACCGUCCCUAAGAAUAAAAUAGCAUUAAAUUUCCCCCCAAACCACUAGAUGUCGCCUUCAUCUCAGAGAAACUAUGCCCCCUCCUCUCUCCCUGCACCCCCACCUCCCAGCCUCCCUCCUACCACACAGAAGCUCUCUCCGCUGGCAGUGAUUUCCGAAGUGGCUUGAAGGGGAAGACAAUCUGUGGCUCUUGGCUGGGGGAGGAGAAUGGGUUUAUGUGCGUGUUCUUUAUGACAACUGAGAAAAGCUCCCCAAGGUCUCCUUGCUGUCCCUCCCAGCAAUCAUGAUAUCGUCCCUCACAAGCUGUUCCUCAGAAUCAGAUCCGCACUCCGGAUCCGGGGUACCUGGGGUGAGCCUUGUAGGUUGGAAGCUUGGGAGUGGAGUGGAACCCAAGGGGGAUAGAGUGGACGUCUGUUGUUGGGGGAAUGUUCUGCUUAGUCAGUCCCUGAGCUUUUAUGGGGUGCUGGCCUGUGCUGUGUGGGGAGACAACAGAGACAAGAGUCUGUUCUGAGCUCCUGCCCUGCAGCAGAUGGUCUGGUGGAAGCCCCGUGGGCUGUGUGGGCCUCGGGGGACAUGGGAGGGCACCAGAGGGUGGGGAGGGAAGAAGGAGGUGGGAGCGUUGAGUCCUAAGGAAGGAGACUCAUGGGCAUUGUAAGGGCUCAGGAAAAAUCGAUCCUGGGCGCCUCUUGGUCCUGGAGGGGCCGCCUUCCGGCACGCAGGCAUGUCUCACGGGAGGAGAGAGGUUCCUGGAAUGAGAAGGGUGGGUGACUAGGUGGAGGACUAGCGAGGAUCCCAGAUAUUUGGGGGUUCCUGACUGCUUCCUGGAGGCUGGCGUAUUUGAGGGACUCAGCCGAGUUAAGAGGGGACCUACCCCGAGAGGGAUCCUGAGGGCUGAUAGGAGAGUGUGAGGCAGAGAGAGCCCGGGGGCCACAGGGGCAGGCCCUUAGGUGCAGGGACACCCGGAAACCUCGCCGGCCCGAGAGGCCCCGUGCGGAGACCCCGAGUUGUCCCGGUGGGUUUGAGAGCUGGGAGGACCCGAGG